This 301-nucleotide ribosomal RNA is filed under the name uncultured bacterium. Its description in RNAcentral is "partial 16S ribosomal RNA". It matches the Rfam family "Bacterial small subunit ribosomal RNA", at positions 509 to 809 of the family's 1533-position model. The record is from RNAcentral.
CAGCAGCCACGGUAAGACGGAGGAUGCAAGCGUUAUCCGGAAUGAUUGGGCGUAAAGCGUCUGUAGGUGGGUUGUGAAGUCUUCUGUUAAAGAUCAGGGCUUAACCCUGUUUAGGCAGUGGAAACUCAUAACCUAGAGUACGGUAGGGGCAGAGGGAAUUCCCGGUGUAGCGGUGAAAUGCGUAGAUAUCGGGAAGAACACCGACGGCGAAAGCACUCUGCUGGGCCGAAACUGACACUGAGAGACGAAAGCUAGGGGAGCGAAAGGGAUUAGAUACCCGCGUAGUCCCUGUCUCUUAUAA